GAUUUAAUAGGCACCGACUUGUAAAAAGCCAACCGUAUAAAUACUAUCAAUCCUUCGUUUUCUUCUCAUUACAUUGUCUCCAUAAAAACUCGAGCCCUAACCUUCAUUCGCCAUUACAAUCUCUCCUUUCUCCACUGUUAAAUACCUCUAAAACCAGACUAACCCUAAUUUUCCUCUUUUGUUUCUAUUAUCCGCCUUCGCGUAUUGUCUCUACAGUUUUAGCCACCGUCUCGGUCUUUCCUCGGAACCCUAAUUCUUCGUCGCUUCCUUUAGAAACCCUAAUAUCCGAACCUGAUCUUUCGAAACCCUCGAUUUGUCGAAAAUUCUAUAUAAUCCAAGACAAUAAUAAUAACUAUUAUAAGAAUUUUGUUGAUUCUGUUUGUUAAUUAUAUUUUGCAAAUAUUGUUUCUUUGAAUUUUUGAGAUAAGCCGUUGUUCUUCCUGAUCUUCAAUUUUCCGAACCAUACAAAUACUUUUUUUGAUAGUUAGAAUACUAUCUCAAAUUGUCAGUUUAGUCCUCCAGGUUUAACGGAUUUAUACUUUUUCCGUUUAUUUUUAAAUCACUUGUAUACUUUUCACUGGGUCUUGAUAUUGGGGAGAGAUGGUUGGGGGAGGCAGGAGAGACGAGGGAUCAUUGGUGAUCAACAACACUAAUGUUUUUGCAGCGCUUGAGACUCUGAGGAAGAAAAAGAAGUCAGAUAAGGAGCGUGGUUCAUCCAAGAGUGGUAAAGGAUCCUCUAAAUCACAAUCGCAACAGCAGCAGAAGGAGCCUGCUCCUGAAUUAUUUUGGGCUCCUGCUCCACUCAAUGCUAAAUCUUGGGCUGAUGUGGAGGAUGAAGAUGAUGACGACUACUAUGCCACCGCAGCCCCUGUUUGGGGUUCUUCGGAGCCACAGCAGACUGAUGAUAAGCCCACCCACAUAGAGGUGAGUAGCAGGAUUUCUCUAUAUAGUUGCCUGUAAUGUUAGUUGAUAAACUCUAAACAGGUUAUGUUACUAUUAAUACUAGAUUUUAUGUUUGGUUUUCUACCUGUUUGGGCAUUGUUGGAUAUUGAUGCUUUGUUGUUAAUGCUAUCUGUUAAGCGUCAGAACAGCUGGUUAAGUGAUUUCGUUGGCAUAGUUUGAUUUUAUUUCUCAACUUCUUAACCUAAAAGGGGAAGGUCCAGAUGUGGGUAAAAGAUCCCCAGUGGAUGAAUCUUACGCAUUAUGUGUCAAAUUCUGUAUGUUUUUUCUAGUUGUUUAUAUGAUGCUGUGCGACAGAGUUAACUAAAUUAUGAUGCUUGGGGUGGAUGAAGCAUCAGGUGCUUGUAAUAUUCAACUUUCAGCAAGUAUCUGUGGACUUGGGGGCUGUUGGAUUUAAAUAUUAGAUUAUUUAUAGUCUUUCAAUGUGAAUCAGGACUGAAGAAAUGUAGAGGUUCAAACAUUAGAAAGGAGGCACAGGGUCGUGAUCCAUGUAAAUUCUGUUUGUUUUUCUGGAUAAAUUUAUCUAAUUAUGGUGAUUAUCGGUAGGUUCAAGUUGUGCUUUUUUGGAUCUACUUUUGAACAGUUUGAGGGUAGACAUUUUCUUUAGAAGGGUGGGAUACUUCUACAUCUAUGUUGAGCAAAUGUCCAGGAUAUUUCUUAUAUCAAAGCAAAGGAAUAGAGUGAAGAACUCGAUUCUUUUUUUUUCCCCUCCUUGGAUUAUAUGUGUGAUGGCCAAAAAGGGUAGAAUCAUCCCUUUAAUUUGUCAUCUUAGCCGAAUGGCACCUUUAACUAAAGGGUCGACCUAUUAUAUCCUUCAAAUUAUCAAUUUCACACGCAUUAAACACUUGAGAAGCCAAUCUAGCCACCAUGUGGUGUUAUUCUCUCUUGGGCUAGUGAAACAUGGAAAUAAAUGACUACAUAUAUAUAUAAUAUAAUAAUAGAAGAUCAACAGAAAUUGUCCCAUAAAUCCAUUGAAGAACUGUAGCAUCCAAUUGAGACCGCAGUCUUGGAUCGACUUCAGUAGCCGUAGAAGAUUCCUUGUCUUUAUCAGAUGACAAGGGUGGAAUAAUGAAAUCGAGAACUUUAUAGGCACGGCAAUGAAUUUUGAACAAUUCCGCCCAAGAGGAAUAUUGCCCCUUUUCAGUCUCAAGAAUGAUUGGAAUAAAAUUUCGGAUAUUGUUAACAGCAAGGGCUGGAUGAAAAUCAUGCUUGCCUGCCAUGGUUUAGAAAAGAGAAGAAAAGAGAUAGAGAUGAAGAAAAGAACUAGGGUUUAGAGAGAGCGGCUUGAAAUUGCGUGCUCUGAUACCAUAUAGGAAAUCCCCCCGCGUGUAUUCAUUUAGAAUAAGCUUAUAUACAUGUGUAGUAUUAUGUAAUUACAAAUAUACCACUAACUCAAUUUACAUAGCCAAAAUAUACAUCAGUACAUAGUCUAACAGGCGGUUACACUUUUUUAUUUCCUUUUGUUUUUCUCUCUUUUUUUUCUCAUUUUUUAGAAUGUGUUUGUCAAAAUUAUCUGUUUUAAUAGCUGUUAGUUGUUUUAGUAGUGUUUAAAUGUUAGCUAUUUGAAUAGUUUUUCACGAAACACUAAAAACUAAAUGUUACAUAGGUUAAUUUUCACAAAACACUACCUUAACCUCUAAAAAUUGAAUUAAACGCUAUGUUACCGAGCACUAUAAAAAAAUAAUAAACACUAAAAAUUAUUUAAAAAACUGUUAUCGAUUACAACCUUAGUGUCUUUUCAAAUUUAUUCUCGUCCAGUUUUCUCUAUCAUUGUUCAUGGAUUAAGGCUUUAUUUUUCUACAGUGAGGUUUGUCAAUGUUUUCAACUCCUUUCCAUGAAGGUGUUCCUCCAUAUUUUAUAUAUAUAUUUUUUUGUUUUAUUGGUUUGGCAAUUUUGUUUGUUAGAUAAAAAUAUAUAUUAUUUAUGUUUGAGUUUGGAGCUGAUCUAACGAAAUUAUACAUUAUCAUCAAGUGAAGACAGUGAAUCAAUUAUAUGUUCUGAAAACUGUACUGAACCCUUCAAAUUCUAAUUUACUAAUGACGUGGAUAAUAAUUUCAUAGUUGGUUGGAGAGAGUUUCAUAAUUUGUCGAAAUGGCUUGGAAUAGUGAAAACAGUACUCCGGUAAGAUGCACAUAAAUCUUUAAUUGAGUGGCAGCAAGCCAAUUUAGAAAUUCUAAUAUAAUGUUAAUUUUACUAUGUUAUAUAUAAAUGGUCAAAUAUAUAAAAAUAUACUCAUUUACAUUAUUUAAUAUCUCAUUUAUCAAUCCAUCUUAAUCAUUGAGUAAAAACUGUUAAUAUUACUAUUUAAUCAUUCUGUUGAUUUAUCUUAUAAUUUCUUUUUAAAUUUUUUUUAGGAGCGAUAACAUCACAUCAGCAAGAGAUUUUAAUUAAGCAAAGGGAUGGACGAAGAAUUGUAAAAUUUAAUUAAUUUAAUUGAAUAAGAUAAAAAAAAUUAUUUUUGAUAGUUUACUAAUAUAAAAAUAUAACAUUUAAAUUAUACUGGAAAUUUCUAAAUUAGAAUUAUAUUCAAAAAUUUUAACAUAUAAGAUAAAUAUAUUAAAAAACAAAAUUUUAUAUGAAAUUAUUCAUAACUAUAUCUAAUACAUAAUAUAUUAUUAUUAUAAAAAAUAUUAAAAUGUCUAAUCAAGUUGGAGUAUUAAAUAUUUUUUUUGAGUUGAUUGUAAAAAAUAAAAUAUUUAUAACCAAAAUAAACAGAGCAAAAGAGUAUUAAAAAUAUUUAUUUUAUUUUAUUUUUUAACCAAAUUAAAUAUAACACUCUCUUUUGUCUCUCCGUAUGCUAAUCCUUUCCAUUCCCAUUUAUGUGUUAUAUAUAUAUGUAUAUAUAUAAUAUAAUAAUUAUUAAAAUUUGCAUAGUGGAUGGGAUAUUCAAUCCUUAUCUCUAUACUUUGUUUGUGGUUCUAAAAAAAAAGAAUGUAACAUUAUUAACCGUGAAAUCAAAGAUUUAAUAGGCACCGACUUGUAAAAAGCCAACCGUAUAAAUACUAUCAAUCCUUCGUUUUCUUCUCAUUACAUUGUCUCCAUAAAAACUCGAGCCCUAACCUUCAUUCGCCAUUACAAUCUCUCCUUUCUCCACUGUUAAAUACCUCUAAAACCAGACUAACCCUAAUUUUCCUCUUUUGUUUCUAUUAUCCGCCUUCGCGUAUUGUCUCUACAGUUUUAGCCACCGUCUCGGUCUUUCCUCGGAACCCUAAUUCUUCGUCGCUUCCUUUAGAAACCCUAAUAUCCGAACCUGAUCUUUCGAAACCCUCGAUUUGUCGAAAAUUCUAUAUAAUCCAAGACAAUAAUAAUAACUAUUAUAAGAAUUUUGUUGAUUCUGUUUGUUAAUUAUAUUUUGCAAAUAUUGUUUCUUUGAAUUUUUGAGAUAAGCCGUUGUUCUUC
Molecule: long non-coding RNA, 4359 nt
Filed under: Jatropha curcas
Lineage: Eukaryota; Viridiplantae; Streptophyta; Magnoliopsida; Malpighiales; Euphorbiaceae
Description: long non-coding RNA (JCUR_LNC002015)
Source: RNAcentral